UUACCUGAAAUUUGUAUGCAGCUGGAACAGUGCCCCUAGCGGCAAACAUAGGCAAGCGUUCCAACUUCAUACAAAUUUGACUUA
This 84-nucleotide microRNA precursor is filed under the name Bombyx mori (domestic silkworm). RNAcentral's name for it is "mir-2807 microRNA precursor family". It matches the Rfam family "mir-2807 microRNA precursor family". The record is from Rfam by way of RNAcentral. Lineage: Eukaryota; Metazoa; Arthropoda; Insecta; Lepidoptera; Bombycidae.